This 31-nucleotide non-coding RNA is filed under the name Rattus norvegicus (Norway rat). Lineage: Eukaryota; Metazoa; Chordata; Mammalia; Rodentia; Muridae. The record is from RNAcentral.
UCUGUUUGACAGGAAUGCUCCGAAUACAGAA